UGAGCCGACAGUAACCAUCAGCCAACCUAAAUCCCCACAGACAACAGCAAAUGAAUAUUCGCCUGUUACAGUGACAACAGUAACACCAAGUAUAUUUUAUAAUUUGCAUCUUUAUUUUUAUUUCAUUGCAUCAACGUCUUCAUUUCUACGCGUGCACGUUUCCCCCGCGGUCGACCAUAUAUCUUACGUGCACGGCUAAACCAGUCAGCUCCAUUUAUAACUGGAGCUAUAUUGAAGCCAACUUCGUUUUAACCGCACAAUAGAAAGGGACCGGGGAACUGAUGUCCAAUAGUUCCUUAAAUUUCCGCCAUCUUGGCAAGGAGUCUGGGCUAAAGCAAGUACAAUAAGUAUGAUUUACAUUACAAUACAUUACUAAAAAUUUCAUCAUAGUUUUUGACAUAGGUAAAAAUUUGCUCAAAUCCAAUAACAACUUUUUUUCAGAUAUAAUACAAGCUCCUUUACGAGUCAUGGUUUCCUUUUUUUCAUGAAUUAUUCACACAACUUUUACUUUUCCCUUUCCUAAAGUCAUCAAAAGACAAUUUUAUUUCUGCAAUAGAAUUGCCUUGAAAAGUUGAACUAUUUUAUUUAAUGUUUUAGAAACGAAAAUCCCUGCCAGCUCAGAUGAAGAAAGUUCCGGCUCAAACAUCUCAAACAAAAUUUUUAUUGCUUUGUUUUGCACCGUUCUUGUUGUCAUUGUUUUUCUUGGCAUUGUUGUGGGAUGUCUGUGGAAGAAACUGCAGAGGUCAGUUAAAGUCGUU
Paramuricea clavata is the source of this 758-nucleotide non-coding RNA. NCBI's taxonomy places the organism in Eukaryota, Metazoa, Cnidaria, Anthozoa, Malacalcyonacea, Plexauridae. The record is from the annotation of a GenBank genome assembly.